This 466-nucleotide ribosomal RNA is filed under the name uncultured bacterium. RNAcentral's name for it is "bacterial SSU rRNA". It matches the Rfam family "Bacterial small subunit ribosomal RNA", at positions 32 to 507 of the family's 1533-position model. The record is from RNAcentral.
AAUCAACGCUGGCGGCGUGCCUCAGACAUGCAAGUCGAACGAUUAAAGCUCUCUUCGGAGAGUGUAUAGAGUGGCGCACGGGGUGAGUAACACGUAAGUAAUCUACCCCCGAGUGGGGAAUAACAACCGGAAACGGUUGCUAAUACCGCAUAAUGCAGCGGCACCGCAAGGUGACAGUUGUUAAAGAUUUAUCGCUUGAGGAGGAGCUUGCGGCAGAUUAGCUAGUUGGUAGGGUAACGGCUUACCAAGGCUACGAUCUGUAACCGGUCUAAGAGGACGGUCGGUCACACUGACACUGAAUAACGGGUCAGACUCCUACGGGAGGCAGCAGUCGGGAAUUUUGGGCAAUGGGCGAAAGCCUGACCCAGCAACGCCGCGUGAAGGAUGAAGUAUUUCGGUAUGUAAACUUCGAAAGAAUAGGAAGAAUUAAUGACGGUACUAUUUAUAAGGUCCGGCUAACUACGUG